UCUCUCUUGAGGAAAAUACUGCAUACUGAAACUGUCCAUGACAGGCAGUGUACCAGAGCCUGGGGUAAUUUCUCCAGCAGCUAACUAUCCAUAAAAUUGUGCCAGAUGCAUCCUCAGGUUCUCCAUCAGCCAGUAGAGCCAAGAGAAGGGGCAGCCCAGAGGGGAAACCACUGACUGCUGCAAAUAAGCCAUAUGAAAUGCCUCUGUACCAUCUAAUAUCAUGGCAAAUGCAGCCAAAGGCUAGAAAUGACAUUUAUGUGAGAUUUCCAGCACAUGACUGCUGGAGUAGAAUAGCUGGGAAGUCUAUCUGCUCAGAUUCACAUAGAUGAAGGAGGCAGAUGAUGUUGUACUGAUGCCUUAAGGAGAUUAAAGUCAUAGGUUUGAGGGUUGCUGGAACGUGUGGAAUAAACAGUCUGAGUCUUCUUUCUUCCAU
This 433-nucleotide long non-coding RNA is filed under the name Ficedula albicollis (Collared flycatcher). RNAcentral describes it as "lncRNA (ENSFALG00000026721.1)". Lineage: Eukaryota; Metazoa; Chordata; Aves; Passeriformes; Muscicapidae. The record is from RNAcentral.